AACUCGAUCAACUCUAGUUAAGAGUUGGGAUUGACCUCAUAUGUAGCUGCUGCUGCAUAUCUGGUUUGAAUGUAUCAAGUUGAUGGGCUUCCCAACGUUGCUCAAUGUGUGCUAGCGAGACAGUCGUCCCGAUCUCACAUUACAGCUCUGUUGCAAGGUUCUAUGUACAACUUUUUUAUUUAUUAUUAUCAAUU
RNAcentral lists this unclassified non-coding RNA (194 nucleotides) under uncultured Rozellomycota. Its description in RNAcentral is "uncultured Cryptomycota sequence contains ITS2". The record is from RNAcentral. Lineage: Eukaryota; Fungi; Rozellomycota.